GACGAACGCUGGCGGCGUGCCUAACACAUGCAAGUCGAGCGGGAAAGUUCCCUUCGGGGAGCGAGUACAGCGGCGAACGGGUGAGUAACACGUAGGCAACCUACCCCGGAGACCGGGAUAACCUGUCGAAAGGCGGGCUAAUACCGGAUAAGACCACGAGGGCCUCGGCCCUUGAGGUAAAAGGUGGCCUCUGCUUGCAAGCUAUCACUCCAGGAUGGGCCUGCGCGCCAUUAGCUAGUUGGUGAGGUAACGGCUCACCAAGUCGAAGAUGGCUAGCUGGUCUGAGAGGAUGGCCAGCCACACUGGGACUGAGAUACGGCCCAGACUCCUACGGGAGGCAGCAGUGGGGAAUCUUGCGCAAUGGGCGAAAAGCCUGACGCAGCGACGCCGCGUGGGUGAUGAAGGCCUGGUCGUAAG
Molecule: ribosomal RNA, 417 nt
Filed under: uncultured bacterium
Lineage: Bacteria
Description: bacterial SSU rRNA
Rfam family: Bacterial small subunit ribosomal RNA
Source: RNAcentral